GUUUACUGAAGUUUUCUAAGGGAGGCUGUCUCUUAUACCAAUGAGGAUGAGCAGGUCACCUGCCAGAACAAGCCCAGAGGUGGCCUUACUUGGGGUUUGCUGAUCAAUGACUCUGGAGCUAUGAGAACUCAGGGUCCUGGACUGAGUCACUCGGAAGUUGGGCUGUGUGGCUCCGCCCUGGGUUCCAGCAUCGUGCUGUGAUUUACUGUCCCUGACUCAACCUCCCCAAAGCUUACUUUCUUUUCCUCAGCCUGUGAUGGCCAAAAUCGAGCUGUUGGCAAAUCACAGUUCACACCCCAACUUUUCAGUCUUUUAGUCUCUAAUUCUUGCUGCUUCACUUCAGAGUCCAAGAACAACAGUGUAAUGAUUCAUCAGUCCCCGCUUCCUGCAAGUAAUCAUUUUCCCACGCUCAGUCUGGUCUGUGUGAUGCAGUUUUCUCAUCGAGUUGGCUCUGUUUGGGAAGCGGCAGCCACUACCUCCUGCAGAAGCUCUACCGCUUUCACACAAAUGAGCGAGGAAAAUCUCUGCCAAUGGAAAUAAAUCUACGAGGAACCGGAAUGAAAAAAGGAGAGGUGAAAAGGGAAGAGUCUUGAGAAUUAGAAUGAUACCAAGCACCUCGUGCCUCUCUCAGCCUCUCUACAAUGAAAUGCUUCCAAACCCCUGUGACACAUUUGUGUGUGUGUGAGAGUUCAUUUACUAAAACUGUUUAUUGGAGCCCACAGUUAUGUCUUGCAUAAAACAUGAAAAAUUCAGUGAGGAAAAUAAAAGUCAAGAAAAUCAAAUCGGUGGGAAUAUG
This 796-nucleotide long non-coding RNA is filed under the name Meriones unguiculatus (Mongolian gerbil). RNAcentral describes it as "lncRNA (ENSMUGG00000001997.1)". Lineage: Eukaryota; Metazoa; Chordata; Mammalia; Rodentia; Muridae. The record is from RNAcentral.